AAUCAAACGAAGAGGGCAAAGCAAAAUUUGCUCGAUUAUGGAAUACAAUAAUUAUCAGCUUCAGAGAAGAAGAUCUUAUUAGCGACAGGGAGAAGGACCUUCUGCUUAUGCCGUAUCAGGCUGACAGAGAACUUAAAGACAUUAUCCAAUGGCCUCCAUUUUUACUAGCCAGCAAGAUACCUAUGGCACUAGACAUGGCCAAAGACAGCAAUAGUAAGGACCAGGAACUCAGGAAGAGAAUAGAGACCGAUAACUACAUGUCUAGUGCUAUUCGUGAAUGCUAUGCUCAGUUUAGAAGCAUCAUUAACAUUUUGGUU
Eucalyptus grandis is the source of this 317-nucleotide long non-coding RNA. RefSeq lists it as uncharacterized. The record is from RefSeq and is a predicted model, not a curated record. Lineage: Eukaryota; Viridiplantae; Streptophyta; Magnoliopsida; Myrtales; Myrtaceae. The transcript has 3 exons.